This 408-nucleotide long non-coding RNA is filed under the name Rattus norvegicus (Norway rat). RNAcentral describes it as "long non-coding RNA NONRATT030862". The record is from RNAcentral. Lineage: Eukaryota; Metazoa; Chordata; Mammalia; Rodentia; Muridae.
GUAGAUGAUGAUAUGUCUGGGGAUGAGAAGCAGGACAAUGAGGUAAAUUUCUUUUAUUACUUCUGUUCUCUGUGUGAAAUUCUGAUAACAGAUACCAUUCUCUCAUUGGAUAUGGAGGGGAUAAGUACAGUCACCAAUCAGUUUCCACAGAAUUCCCUCCCAAAAGCUUCCUGGUCCAGGAUUCCCUUCAAAAAAUCCCCAUCCCAAAAUGUCAAAAUUUGCCAAUAUACAGGUAGUCUGAAUGGAACCUACACAAAUCUUUUUGCACACUUUAGGUUAUCUGAGGAUUACAUAUAAUGCCCCAUGUUGUUAAUGUUGUAUAGUUGAAUUACAUAAAAAGUAAUGAUUUUAAAAGUCUGGACAUAUUUGGUACAGAAUCAGUUUACCUUUGUGAACCCAUAGAUGUUG